CCAACACCACCAGUUGGGUCUACCAUCUUUCAUUGGCCAAAAUGGGUCCAAAAACCCCAAAUUUGGGGACUUUUGGGGGGUGUUUUCCCCCCAAACACCACCAGUUGGGUCUCCCUUCUUCCCGUUGGCCAAAAUGGGUCCAAAAACCCCAAAAUUGGGCACUUUUGAGGUGUGUUUUCCCCCCAAAUCACCACCAGUUGGGUCUCCCUACUUCCCGUUGGCCAAAAUAGGUCAAAAAAACCCCAAAUUGGGCACUUUUGGGGUGUUUUCCCCCCCAAACCCCACACAUUGGAUCUCCCAACACCACCAGUUGGCUCUACCAUCUUUCAUUGCCCAAAAUGGGUCAAAAAACCCCAAAUUUGGGCACUUUUGGGGUGUUUUCCCCCCCAAACCCCAAACAUUGGAUCUCCCAACACCACCAGUUGGGUCUACCAUCUUUCAUUGGCCAAAAUGGGUCAAAAAACCCCAAAAUUGGGCACUUUCGAGGUGUGUUUUCCCCCCAAACCCCACACAUUGGAUCUCCCAACACAACUGGUUGGCUCUACCAUCUUUCAUUGGCCAAAAUGGGUCCAAAAACCCCAAAUUGGGGCACUUUUGAGGUGUGUUUUCCCCCCAAAUCACCACCAGUUGGGUCUCCCAUCUUUCAUUGGCCAAAAUGGGUCCAAAAACCCCAAAUUUGGGCACUUUUGAGGUGCGUUUUCCCCCCAAAUCACCACCAGUUGGGUCUCCCAUCUUUCAUUGGCCAAAAUGGGUCAAAAAACCCCAAAAUUGGGCACUUUUGGGGUGUUUUCCCCCCCCAAAGUCCCCCCACCCGGUUGGGGGCAGCCAUGAGAACCGCUUGGGUUGGAGCCGCCCCAUUCAACCCCAUUAUGGGGUUGGGGGGGGUCUCAAUUCUGUGCCCCCCACCCCAAUAUAUCCCCUAUAUCCUCCCCCCCCCCCUCCCCCCAACCCCAAACCUGAGGAUUUUGGGGGUAUUUUGGGGGUCAUUUUGAGGGUUUUCUGCCCCGGAAUGAACUCCGGAUUUAACUUAAAUUAAAACUUCUAUUCUCAAUUUCACAUUGACCCCAAAUUGCCUUUUCUUCACCCAUUUCUGAGUCUGAAAAGUGGUGGUUUUUGUUCACCGAACCCACUGUUUUAAUGCCUCAAACCCCCAUUUUUCACCCCAAAAUCCCCUCUAAACCCCCAUUUUUCACCCCCCAUCCCCUCAAAAACUCCCCAAACCCCCAUUUUUCACCCCAAAAUCCCCUCAAAAGCCCCAUUUUCCACCCCAAAACCACCCCAAAAUCCCCUCCAAACCCCCACAGCCCCCAUUUUCCACCCCAAAACCCCCCCAAACCGCCAUUUUCCUACCCCAGAAUCCCCAUUUUCCACCCCAAAACCACCCCAAAAUCCCCUCUAAACCCUCAAACCCCCCAAUUUCCACCCCAAACCCCCAUUUUUCACCCCAAAACCUCCCCCGAACCCCCCAUUUCCCACCCAAAAAUCCCCCAAACCCCAAUUUCUACCCCAAAACCCCCCACAACCCACCCAUUUUCCACCCCAAAACCACCCCAAAAUCCCUUCCAAACCCUCAACCCCCCCAAUUUCCACCCCAAACCCCCCUUUUCCACCCCAAAAUCCCCUCCAAACCCCCAACCCCCCCAUUUUUCUACCCCAAACCCCCAUUUUCCACCCCAAAAUCCCCCCAACCCCCCCAUUUUCCACCCCAAAACCACCCCAAAAUCCCUUCCAAACCCUCAACCCCCCCAUUUUCCACCCCAAACCCCCCCCAAACCGCCAUUUUCCUACCCCAGAAUCCCCAUUUUCCACCCCAAAACCACCCCAAAAUCCCCUCUAAACCCUCAAACCCCCCAAUUUCCACCCCAAACCCCCAUUUUUCACCCCAAAACCUCCCCCGAACCCCCCAUUUCCCACCCAAAAAUCCCCCAAACCCCAAUUUCUACCACAAAACCCCCCACAACCCACCCAUUUUCCACCCCAAAACCACCCCAAAAUCCCCUCCAAACCCCCAUAGCCCCCAAUUUCCACCCCAAACCCCCCUUUUCCACCCCAAAAUCCCCUCCAAACCCCCAACUCCCCCAUUUUUCUACCCCAAACCCCCAUUUUCCACCCCAAAAUCUCCCCAACCCCCCCAUUUUCCACCCCAAAACCACCCCAAAAUCCCUUCCAAACCCUCAACCCCCCCAUUUUCCACCCCAAAAUCCCCCCCAAACCCCCAACCCCCCCAUUUUUCACCCCAAAACCACCCCAAAAUCCCCUCCAAACCCCCACAGCCCCCAUUUUCCACCCCAAAACCCCCCCAAACCGCCAUUUUCCUACCCCAAAAUCCCCAUUUUCCACCCCAAAACCACCCCAAAAUCCCCUCUAAACCCUCAAACCCCCCAAUUUCCACCCCAAACCCCCAUUUUUCACCCCAAAACCUCCCCCGAACCCCCCAUUUCCCACCCAAAAAUCCCCCAAACCCCAAUUUCUACCCCAAAACCCCCCACAACCCACCCAUUUUCCACCCCAAAACCACCCCAAAAUCCCCUCCAAACCCCCAUACCCCCCAAUUUCCACCCCAAACCCCCAUUUCCCCCCCAAACCCCCCAAAACCCCCCCCCAAAAAGACCCCCACAGCGCUUCAGGCUCUAUUUAUUACUACAGACAGAGGAACACAGCGACCGACAACAGCCAAAAAUGCCCUUUUUUUUCCCCCCCAAAGUCCCCAUUUUUGCCCAUUUUCGCCCUUUUUCACCCCAAUUUUCGGCCCCUCCGUCCUCUUUCCCCCCCCCCCCCCCUCCACCCCAUUCUUUACCAUUUCCCCUCCAUCGCAACGGCCGUUUUUAACCCUUUUUAACCUUUUUUUUUUUACCCCUUUUCGCGCCCCAAACCCACCCAAAAUCGCCGUUUUUUCACCCAAUUUUGGGCCGAAAACCCCUCGUUUGCCAUAUAACCCCAUUGGGGCGGCGUGUGGGGGAGGGGGGGGGAAGAAAACCCCAAACCCCCCCCCACCCCAAAUCCCACUUUUUCAG
Long non-coding RNA from Gallus gallus (chicken), 3014 nucleotides. The record is from Ensembl. NCBI's taxonomy places the organism in Eukaryota, Metazoa, Chordata, Aves, Galliformes, Phasianidae.